Molecule: long non-coding RNA, 322 nt
Filed under: Capsicum annuum
Lineage: Eukaryota; Viridiplantae; Streptophyta; Magnoliopsida; Solanales; Solanaceae
Description: long non-coding RNA (CANN_LNC021620)
Source: RNAcentral
CCUGAUGAAUUUUCUGGAUUUGUGCAAUCUGGAUGCUGUGUGGAGAUCUGAAAUUUUGGAUUAUAUUAUUGUAAGUAUUUAUGUAAAAUUAGAAAAAAGAAAAAAAUAGGGCCCCACUUGAGUCUUUAGAGCGGAAUGGUUGGGAUCCCUCUAUCUUUAUCUUGAGUAUCCGCCUCUAUCUUUAUCUUGAGUAUCCGAAAUGAAAGGAUUUUGCUGAAAGCUUCACCUCCAGAAUCGGGCUCUACAAUGCAAGUAUAGUCGGGCGUCAAUGUGGAUAUCAGACACCGGGUGAGAAAAGAAAGUACCGAGCUUUUAAACAUAG